UGUAGAACCUGAGAUAUGGACUGAACACCGAACAGUGUCUGGGCUAUAGAACAGAUUCAGACUUCUCUUUUGAUGCUAGGAUUUGGACUCCAAAACGGCAGAAUUGAGUCUUGGACUCUCAUGAAUAUUUUAGGUCUAUAUCUUAGCUUUCUAUU
This is a non-coding RNA of Populus trichocarpa (black cottonwood), 155 nucleotides long. NCBI's taxonomy places the organism in Eukaryota, Viridiplantae, Streptophyta, Magnoliopsida, Malpighiales, Salicaceae. The record is from Rfam.